GUGCUCACUUUGCCAGCACAUACAAUGAAACUGGAAUGAUACGGAGAAGAUGAGCAUGGCCACUGCACGGGCGGAGCACAAUGGCUAAUGACUGUAAUCUCAGCACUUU
Small nuclear RNA from Cebus imitator (Panamanian white-faced capuchin), 109 nucleotides. NCBI's taxonomy places the organism in Eukaryota, Metazoa, Chordata, Mammalia, Primates, Cebidae. The record is from RefSeq and is a predicted model, not a curated record.